RNAcentral lists this ribosomal RNA (468 nucleotides) under uncultured bacterium. RNAcentral describes it as "partial 16S ribosomal RNA". It matches the Rfam family "Bacterial small subunit ribosomal RNA", at positions 28 to 507 of the family's 1533-position model. The record is from RNAcentral.
GACGAACGCUGGCGGCGUGCUUAACACAUGCAAGUCGAACGGAAAGGCCCUGCUUUUGUGGGGUGCUCGAGUGGCGAACGGGUGAGUAACACGUGAGUAACCUGCCCUUGACUUUGGGAUAACUUCAGGAAACUGGGGCUAAUACCGGAUAGGAGCUCCUGCUGCAUGGUGGGGGUUGGAAAGUUUCGGCGGUUGGGGAUGGACUCGCGGCUUAUCAGCUUGUUGGUGGGGUAGUGGCUUACCAAGGCUUUGACGGGUAGCCGGCCUGAGAGGGUGACCGGCCAAAUUGGGACUGAGAUACGGCCCAGACUCCUACGGGAGGCAGCAGUGGGGAAUAUUGCACAAUGGGCGGAAGCCUGAUGAAGAAAAGCAGCGUGCGGGAUGACGGCCUUCGGGUUGUAAACCGCUUUCGCAUGUGACGAAGCGUGAGUGACGGUAAUGGGUAAAGAAGCACCGGCUAACUACGUG